RNAcentral lists this transfer RNA (53 nucleotides) under Scapania koponenii. RNAcentral's name for it is "partial tRNA-Phe". It matches the Rfam family "tRNA", at positions 1 to 52 of the family's 71-position model. From Rfam's summary of the family: Transfer RNA (tRNA) molecules are approximately 80 nucleotides in length. Their secondary structure includes four short double-helical elements and three loops (D, anti-codon, and T loops). Lineage: Eukaryota; Viridiplantae; Streptophyta; Jungermanniopsida; Jungermanniales; Scapaniaceae. The record is from RNAcentral.
GCCGGGAUAGCUCAGUUGGUAGAGCAGAGGACUGAAAAUCCUCGUGUCCAGCC